Chelonia mydas (Green sea turtle) is the source of this 5046-nucleotide long non-coding RNA. RefSeq lists it as uncharacterized. The record is from RefSeq and is a predicted model, not a curated record. The transcript is spliced from 2 exons. NCBI's taxonomy places the organism in Eukaryota, Metazoa, Chordata, Testudines, Cheloniidae.
ACGUCCCUUGAUCUGCUGGCAAUGCUCCUACUUAUACAGCCCAAAAUUCCAUUAGCCUUCUUAGCAACAAGGGCACACUGUUGACUCAUACCCAGCUUCUCAUCCACUGUACAGGAAGAGCCCCUGUGUGGCAAUACCUCAGAGCAGGAUGAUGACCUGUUAUAUUAUUUCUUUUCUUUCUAUAUGGGGUGAUAUGACGGGGUGUACCUGGCCCUUUGAGGCCCCCUGCUGGAGGCCUUGCGAUGCUACCUUAUCCUGUGCCAGGUAAGGGGGGUCCUCUGGGCCUACCUAGAAAGACUGCAGAGAAGCAGCCAAUCAGCGUGCAGCAGAUUCAAAUAAAAGGAGUUGCAGGGCCUGAGCAGCUCAGUUGCUGGCUGGGACCAGAUGGGCUAGGAGACAGCAAAACUCUCCAAGCAAGGAAGCCUGGGAGAGACCGUGCUCAAGCAGGGAUAGGACAGAGACAACCCAAGGAUUAUAAGCCUAAGGUAACAUGUGAGGGUGGUGGGACCGAGUGGGAAGCAGCAAAGGGAAUGCAGCAGCAACUAUUCAGGGAAGCAGUACAUGGCCACUGGUGCAGGAUCCCUGAGUUGAGACCUGGAGUAGUGGGCAGGCCUGGAGUAGUGGGCAGACCGCCGCCACCAGUGCUGGAAAGGCCAAAGCCCUGGAAAGGGGACAUGGCUAAUUUAAAAGCCCAACAAAAAAGGCUAGAUUUAAAAGGGCCCAGAGACAGGACUGAAGACCCCAGAGAAGGCCAACCAUGUGUUGAACCUUGAUACCCCAAAAGGGCACUAAACUUGGGAGGUGACCUGGAUGGAGAACUGGGGCAAUGAGAACUGGUGAAAACAAAGAGUUUCAAGGGAGAAAGCCCUGGGGGCAGUGCUCUAUAACAGGGCAGGGACUCUAUAACAGUUAGCCUAGAAGGGGUUCAUCCGUUGUUGACUGAGUGACUUAGCCGGAGGGCUGAGCCACUUAAGAUCCACCUGAUGAGGUUAUCAACCUACCGGGGGCACCAGGUGAAAAAGAAAACUGCAGCACCACACUCAGCUGACAGGAGGCACUCACAAGAGUGGGUUCAUCGAUUCCAAGGCCUGAAGGGACCAUUGUGAUUAUCUAGUCUGACCUCCUGUGUAACACAGGCCAUAGAACUUCCCAAAAAUAGAUCCCGGAGCAGAUCUUUUUAGACAAACAUCCAAUCUUGAUUUUAAAAUUGUAAGUGAUGGAGAAUCCAUCAAAAACUUUGGUAGAUUGUUCAAAUCGCUAAUUACUCUCACUUUAAAACAUACUUUAUUUCCAGUCUUAAUUUUCAUACCUUCAACUUCCAGCGAUUGGAUUGUGUUAUACCUUUUUCUGCUAGAGUGAAGAGCCCAUCAUCAACUAUUUGUUCCCCAUGUAGGUACUUACAGACUAACGUUCUCUUUAUUAAGCUAAAUUAUUAAUUUCCUUGAAUCUUACUAUAAGGCAUGUUGGCUAAUAAUUCUUUUGGCUCUUCUAUGAACCCUCUCCAAUUUAUUAACAUCCUUCUUGAAGCGUGGAUACUAGAACUGGACAAACAAUUCCAGCAGCAGUUGCACCAGUACCAAAUACAGAGAUACAAUAACUGCUCUAAUCCUACCGAGUUUCCCCUGUUUAUACCCUGUUCACAGUAGUCCUUUUGGCCACAGCAUUGUACUGGGAGCUGAUGUUCAGCUGAUUAUCCACCACGGCCCCCAGAUCUUUUUCAGAGUCACUGCUUCCCAGGAUAGAGGUCCCCAUCCUGUAAGUAUGGCCUACGUUCUUUGUUCCUAGCGAUGUAUAUUUACUUAUAGCAGUAUUAAAACAUACACUGUUAGCUUUGCACAGCUUACCAAGCAAUUCAGAUCGCUCUAUAUCAGUGUGUGACGCUUUCUCAGUGUGCAGAGCGGUAAGUCACUCUGUUACCCAUUUGCCUCAGCAUAAAAGGGAACUGCUGGAGCUAAACUGAGUCACAACUCUUUGUCACUCCAGUUUGCUAGUCAGCCCCACAGAGUCCUCAGGACUCCACCAGUCCUAACUUUGCCUUGCAGGUUAAUCCUUGGUGCAUUCAGCUCCCAGACUCUCCAGAAGCAUCUCCCUGCAGCAUCCAGCCCCUGUCACUGGACACCCACAGAAAUGACCAAGUCUGCUGUCUCCAAAGAGACAGGAUACACAGGCGCCUGUUGGCUCAGCUGAGGAUUCACACUUUAUUUCAGCACACUGCAUUGGGAUGAACUUACAAUGCAAGGAAACAUAAGUUUAUCAAUAAAGAACAGAAAUUCAACUGAUACUAAGCAAUGGUAACAGAGAGAGAGAAAUAGUUAAAAUUAAACUAAAGGAUAACAUGCUUCUAAGUGACUAAAACUUAACUAACUAAAAUCCUUGGCUAAAAUAAGAUUCUUACCUAAAACAGCCUUUCAGUGUCACCCACCCACAUGUUAGGGGAUCCACUGUGCAAAAAUACAAAGAGCACUGGCCUCUUUGUCCCCUAAGUGAUGGGUAAUCAAAGGUCAUUUUGCUGCCCCUUAUAUUCCCCAAAGUUUAUUGUCUCUGACAUCAGAAUCAGGAUGAAUCCCUGGGGUUCAGACUCCAGUGUCUUCCCAGGCUGAUUUCACAUCCUCAUGUUAAUUUGUUGCCCCUGUGUAUCUCCAAUGCAAAUGAACUGCCUACUGUCUCUGGCAUCACCUUGCUCAAUUCCCAUUAGAGACAUGGGGAUAACUAUAUUCCCUCUUGUCUGGAAGACAACUUGUUUCUCCCUUAGUUUGGUUACAGACUUAAAGCAUAAUAUCAGUAAUUCCUCAUACAGUGUAAUAAAUACAUUUUUCAAUUAUAUUAAUGGCCAAUGUGUCACCAGCUUUCAUUUGGUACUCAUACAACAUUCUUUAUAGAUUGAUAUCAUGACAGCAAUGUGAUAGAUGUAAUGAGUUUGUCAAGCUUGAUAGGAGUUGCUGAGUAGUGAAAUACCAGUGGGCCUCUGUGUCACACAGUGACCAUAGGAUUAGAUAGGUAAAUAAAAGGGUUUUAGCAGCCAUGGGAAGACCUUGGAAAUAAUGUGCUUAAAAGUUUAAAAAAAAUGUAACUGGAGAGAAGUUGUAAAAAUGCUGAGCUCAGAAUGUGGAUGAUAAGAAAAGAGGGGCCUCUAAUUAUCCCGGAUGGUUUCAACUAGUUUGAACAAUAAAGAAGGGUUGUGCAUGUUGAGUCAGUAGUAACUUUAACAUACCAAUGUUACCUUGGAGCUGUACCUGGUUAUACACAAGCUUCAGCUGAAGGAGUAUUGGUCAGCAGCUAGGAAGAAGUAUGGUAAAGAUUUAAAAAAUAAAAUAAAAAAAGACUUGGAAAAAGGGAGCCCAGUCAGAAAUCUUAUCUACUUCAGGCCUAAGAACAGGGUCUAGCCCUAAACUGCUAAAGUUAGUAAUUGGCAAUGACAUAACUUUCUUGUUAAAGGGUAGAAAAGGGUGAGCUCUUAAAUGGCUCAUCACUAGUACCUGGCUGACCAAAUUGGAGUCAGUCAGCAUAGGUUUGACCACCCAUGGGUCUCAUCCUUUGUAAGUAUUUGAUCAUUACUUAUAAACGUUUGUUGUUGUAUAGCUGUAGUAACUGCUUAUCAUUUAGGCUUUUAAACAUGUUUAGAGCAAUUACAUACAUAUUUGAAUUUAAUGAAGGAAUUUAUGGUUAAAUCAGUGUCUGGCAGGACCCUGUAUUAGUAUCCACAACAAUUCCAGUAGUGACCUGUCCUCUUCAUUAUUUACCACUCACCCAAUUUUUAUGUCAUUCAAAAACUUUCAGUGUUUUUUUUUAUUAUUAUUAUUCCAGGUCAUUGAUGACAAUGCCUAAUGUAGGACCAAGAACAGAUCCCUGUUGGACCCCACUAGAAACACACCCAUUCAAUGAUGAUUACAUUUUGAGACCUGUCAGUUAGCCAGAGUUUAAACCAUUUAAUGUGUGCCAUGUUAAUUUUAUAUCAUUCUAGUUUUUAAAUCAAAUUGUUACCAAGUCAAAUGCCUUACAGAAGUCUAUUACCUCAACACAACUAUAUUUAUCAAUUAAACUUGUAAUCUCAUCUAAAAAAAGAUAUUAGUUUGACAGCAUCUAGUUUCCACAUCAAGCCCUGUAUCAGCUACUCCAUUAUCUUGCCUAAGACCAAUGUCUUACUGACAAACCUAUAGUUACCCAGGUCAUCUCAUUUACUCUUUUUAAAUAUGGGCACAUUACCUUUCUUCCAGUCUUCUGGAACUUCCCAAGUGUUCCAAGACAUAUUGAAAAUCAACAUUAAUGGCCCAGCAAGCUCUUCUGCCAACUCUUCUAAAGCUCUUGGAUGAAAGUGGUGCUUAAGACUGGAACAUCCCAGAAGAAUUGUGUUCAACCUUUUUACCAACUUGUGAUCUCUUAAUGAACUUUAAAAUAUGAAAGUUGAAAUUAUAUUACUAUCAAUGUUUUUACCUCCAUUCUUCCCUUAAUGGUGUUCCCCACAAUACCCCAAAACCAGAAGUGUAAGUAUCAGGAUAGGAGCACUUUUCUGGAUCUAGGGAUGUGCAUCUGACUACCAUGCUCAAGAAGGAACAACCCCACCUAGGGUGACCAGAUGUCUCGAUUUUAUAGGGACAGUCCUGAUUUUUGGGUCUUUUUCUUAUAUAGGCUCCUAUUACCCCCCAACCCCUGUCUCAAUUUUUCACACUUGCUGUCUGGUCACCCUACCGCCACCACUCUGACAAUCCCUUACGGUAGCUACUAGUGAGGUGGGAAAGAUUACACGGUGCUCCUUUAAAGUUUCCUACAAUCCCUUUUCCAAACAUUUUUGUUCCUUCAAUGCCCCCUUCUGUUUUGGUUAAGGGCUUUUAUAUCUCUUUUUUAUAUAAACCUUUUCAUUAUCCUUGCCCUAAGUAUCCUGUUCAUGUUGUUUCUCUCCCCCACCCCACCCCUUCUUAAAAUAUAACAUCCUAUUUGUUCCCUUCAACUUCCCUUUGGAUUUGAUAGAUUCAGGGGUAUAAGAGCCAAAAUUGACCCAUUUUGGGGAGAGAAUGUUUGACAAAAAAUAAAGUUUCUUUUUAAGUUGUC